RNAcentral lists this ribosomal RNA (245 nucleotides) under uncultured bacterium. RNAcentral describes it as "partial 16S ribosomal RNA". The record is from RNAcentral.
CUGCUGCCUUCCGUAGGAGUCUGGGCCGUAUCUCAGUCCCAAUGUGGCCGGCCAACCUCUCAGUCCGGCUACUGAUCGUCGCCUUGGUGGGCCGUUACCUCACCAACUAGCUAAUCAGACGCGAGGCCAUCUUCCAGCGAUAAAUCUUUGACGUCGGAGUCAUGCGGCUCCAACGCAUCAUGCGGUAUUAGCGGUCGUUUCCAACUGUUGUCCCCCUCUGGAAGGCAGGUUCCUCACGCGUUACU